GUGGGGAAUAUUGGACAAUGGGCGCAAGCCUGAUCCAGCCAUGCCGCGUGAGUGAUGAAGGCCCUAGGGUUGUAAAGCUCUUUCACCGGUGAAGAUAAUGACGGUAACCGGAGAAGAAGCCCCGGCUAACUUCGUGCCAGCAGCCGCGGUAAUACGAAGGGGGCUAGCGUUGUUCGGAAUUACUGGGCGUAAAGCGCACGUAGGCAGACAUUUAAGUCAGGGGUGAAAUCCCGGGGCUCAACCCCGGAACUGCCUUUGAUACUGGGUGUCUGGAGUAUGGAAGAGGUAAGUGGAAUUCCGAGUGUAGAGGUGAAAUUCGUAGAUAUUCGGAAGAACACCAGUGGCGAAGGCGACUCACUGGCCCGUUACUGACGCUGAGGCGCGAAAGCGUGGGGAGCAAACAGGAUUAGAAACCCGUGUAGUCC
RNAcentral lists this ribosomal RNA (425 nucleotides) under uncultured bacterium. RNAcentral's name for it is "partial 16S ribosomal RNA". It matches the Rfam family "Bacterial small subunit ribosomal RNA", at positions 354 to 796 of the family's 1533-position model. The record is from RNAcentral.